GGUGUGCACUCGUUCGUGUGCUAAUAUGAAUACCUAAACGUGGGCAUAAGAUUUUUGAGGCCAUCUAUGAGCGAUUUCAUGGGCCUAGGUUGUUUCGGGCCAUUUUGGGCCGAGAAUGGCCGUGUGGGCCCCACGGGCAUGUGGGCCCCACAUGGGUAAACCACAUGAACAUGUGGAGAACGUUGGCCUAAGUUGUGUAAUAGACAC
RNAcentral lists this long non-coding RNA (207 nucleotides) under Gossypium barbadense (sea-island cotton). Its description in RNAcentral is "long non-coding RNA (GBAR_LNC006494)". The record is from RNAcentral. Lineage: Eukaryota; Viridiplantae; Streptophyta; Magnoliopsida; Malvales; Malvaceae.